UACGUAGGGGGCAAGCGUUGUCCGGAAUCAUUGGGCGUAAAGCGCGUGUAGGCGGCCAGGUAAGUCCGUUCUGAAAGCCCGGGGCUCAACCCCGGGAGGCGGAUGGAUACUGCUUGGCUCGAGUCCGGAAGAGGCGAGUGGAAUUCCCGGUGUAGCGGUGAAAUGCGCAGAGAUCGGGAGGAACACCCCUAGCGAAGGCGGCACUCUGGGCCGGUACCGACGCUGAGGAGCCAAAGCGUGGGGAGCAAACAGG
Molecule: ribosomal RNA, 253 nt
Filed under: uncultured bacterium
Lineage: Bacteria
Description: partial 16S ribosomal RNA
Rfam family: Bacterial small subunit ribosomal RNA
Source: RNAcentral